GAUGAACGCUGGCGGCGUGCCUAAUACAUGCAAGUCGAACGAGUUCUCGUUGAUGAUCGGUGCUUGCACCGAGAUUCAACAUGGAACGAGUGGCGGACGGGUGAGUAACACGUGGGUAACCUGCCCUUAAGUGGGGGAUAACAUUUGGAAACAGAUGCUAAUACCGCAUAGAUCCAAGAACCGCAUGGUUCUUGGCUGAAAGAUGGCGUAAGCUAUCGCUUUUGGAUGGACCCGCGGCGUAUUAGCUAGUUGGUGAGGUAAUGGCUCACCAAGGCGAUGAUACGUAGCCGAACUGAGAGGUUGAUCGGCCACAUUGGGACUGAGACACGGCCCAAACUCCUACGGGAGGCAGCAGUAGGGAAUCUUCCACAAUGGACGCAAGUCUGAUGGAGCAACGCCGCGUGAGUGAAGAAGGCUUUCGGGUCGUAAAACUCUGUUGUUGGAGAAGAAUGGUCGGCAGAGUAACUGUUGUCGGCGUGACGGUAUCCAACCAGAAAGCCACGGCUAACUACGUGCCAGCAGCCGCGGUAAUACGUAGGUGGCAAGCGUUAUCCGGAUUUAUUGGGCGUAAAGCGAGCGCAGGCGGUUUUUUAAGUCUGAUGUGAAAGCCCUCGGCUUAACCGAGGAAGCGCAUCGGAAACUGGGAAACUUGAGUGCAGAAGAGGACAGUGGAACUCCAUGUGUAGCGGUGAAAUGCGUAGAUAUAUGGAAGAACACCAGUGGCGAAGGCGGCUGUCUGGUCUGUAACUGACGCUGAGGCUCGAAAGCAUGGGUAGCGAACAGGAUUAGAUACCCUGGUAGUCCAUGCCGUAAACGAUGAAUGCUAGGUGUUGGAGGGUUUCCGCCCUUCAGUGCCGCAGCUAACGCAUUAAGCAUUCCGCCUGGGGAGUACGACCGCAAGGUUGAAACUCAAAGGAAUUGACGGGGGCCCGCACAAGCGGUGGAGCAUGUGGUUUAAUUCGAAGCAACGCGAAGAACCUUACCAGGUCUUGACAUCUUUUGAUCACCUGAGAGAUCAGGUUUCCCCUUCGGGGGCAAAAUGACAGGUGGUGCAUGGUUGUCGACAGCUCGUGUCGUGAGAUGUUGGGUUAAGUCCCGCAACGAGCGCAACCCUUAUGACUAGUUGCCAGCAUUUAGUUGGGCACUCUAGUAAGACUGCCGGUGACAAACCGGAGGAAGGUGGGGAUGACGUCAAAUCAUCAUGCCCCUUAUGACCUGGGCUACACACGUGCUACAAUGGAUGGUACAACGAGUUGCGAGACCGCGAGGUCAAGCUAAUCUCUUAAAGCCAUUCUCAGUUCGGACUGUAGGCUGCAACUCGCCUACACGAAGUCGGAAUCGCUAGUAAUCGCGGAUCAGCACGCCGCGGUGAAUACGUUCCCGGGCCUUGUACACACCGCCCGUCACACCAUGAGAGUUUGUAACACCCGAAGCCGGUGGCGUAACCCUUUUAGGGAGCGAGCCGUCUAAGGUGGGACAAAUGAUUAGGGUG
This 1492-nucleotide ribosomal RNA is filed under the name Lacticaseibacillus paracasei. RNAcentral describes it as "bacterial SSU rRNA". It matches the Rfam family "Bacterial small subunit ribosomal RNA". Lineage: Bacteria; Bacillati; Bacillota; Bacilli; Lactobacillales; Lactobacillaceae. The record is from RNAcentral.